This 306-nucleotide long non-coding RNA is filed under the name Capsicum annuum. RNAcentral's name for it is "long non-coding RNA (CANN_LNC009115)". Lineage: Eukaryota; Viridiplantae; Streptophyta; Magnoliopsida; Solanales; Solanaceae. The record is from RNAcentral.
GUCAGCCAAGUCUCUCAUAACCUCAAGCUCAUAUUCUUUCCAACCUAACAAAGACUUCUCAACCAAAACCUGUGAUGUCAAACUAGCUGCCAACCCCGACUUACAUAUCGCCUCGAAUUCCUCCCUGUUAUACGCAAUUCCACCACCCGUCCCACCCAAUGUAAAAGCUGGCCUAAUAAUCAACGGAAACUCCCCUAUUUCACUAGCUAUCUCAAAACACUCCUCCAAUGUAUUCCCAAUCCCUGAAGGUGGAGUCCUUAUCCCAAUAUUCUUCAUUGCCUGCUUAAACAAAUCCCUAUCCUCCGC